Molecule: ribosomal RNA, 492 nt
Filed under: uncultured bacterium
Lineage: Bacteria
Description: partial 16S ribosomal RNA
Rfam family: Bacterial small subunit ribosomal RNA
Source: RNAcentral
AUUGAACGCUGGCGGCAUGCUUUACACAUGCAAGUCGAACGGUAACAGGCCUUCGGGUGCUGACGAGUGGCGUACGGGUGAGUAAUGCAUCGGAACGUACCCAGAGGUGGGGGAUAACGCAGCGAAAGCUGUGCUAAUACCGCAUGUGAUCUGAGGAUGAAAGCGGGGGACCGAGCAGCAAUGUUUGGCCUCGCGCCUUUGGAGCGGCCGAUGUCGGAUUAGCUAGUUGGUGGGGUAAAGGCCUACCAAGGCGACGAUCCGUAGCUGGUCUGAGAGGACGACCAGCCACACUGGGACUGAGACACGGCCCAGACUCCUACGGGAGGCAGCAGUGGGGAAUUUUGGACAAUGGGCGCAAGCCUGAUCCAGCAAUGCCGCGUGCGGGAAGAAGGCCUUCGGGUUGUAAACCGCUUUUGGCAGGAACGAAACGGUGUCCGCUAAUACCGGGCGCUAAUGACGGUACCUGCAGAAUAAGCACCGGCUAACUACGUG